Molecule: ribosomal RNA, 468 nt
Filed under: Triticum aestivum (bread wheat)
Lineage: Eukaryota; Viridiplantae; Streptophyta; Magnoliopsida; Poales; Poaceae
Description: partial small subunit ribosomal RNA
Source: RNAcentral
AUGCAUGAUCAGGUCGGCCUCGACCUGGAUGGCUUCCCGCUCGAUCACGAGUUUCCGAAGGACUACGGACAAGAGGGAGAGGAUGACUUGGACAUCGAAGGGGAGCCUUUGUUCAAGGACGAGCUUGCCAACCAAGCCGUCGGGGCGAAGCCGAACCGCAAGAGCAAGCGGACGAAGCCAUACACGGCGGUCGAGGACAAGCUCCUUUCUAAGUGUUGGAGGGACAUUGGGCAAGACCCCAAGGUCGGCGCCGAACAAAAGGCAUCAACCUUUUGGAUUUGUGUCCACCAUGAGUUAAAUGAGCGCAAGAAGUUUCCGCCGUACCAAAUGCAAAGCAUGUACGGGUGGGUGUCUAUUUCGAAGCGAUGGAGGGUGAUCCAACAAGAAUGCAACAAGUUUUGUGACACUAUUGAGAGCAUCAAGGCACGCCCCGUGAGCGGCAUCGGCAUGCAAGACAUGGUAUGCUAG